Long non-coding RNA from Cotesia glomerata, 100 nucleotides. RefSeq lists it as uncharacterized. The transcript has 3 exons. NCBI's taxonomy places the organism in Eukaryota, Metazoa, Arthropoda, Insecta, Hymenoptera, Braconidae. The record is from RefSeq and is a predicted model, not a curated record.
CAUUAAUUUAGCGAGUGUCGGUAACGAAAAUUUCGGGUGGUAGUUCGCCAGGCUGAUAAAAUCAGGACAUUUUGUAGUGUCUCAAAAUGUCGUUGAAAAA